This is a long non-coding RNA of Pseudopipra pipra, 1396 nucleotides long. RefSeq lists it as uncharacterized. The transcript has 2 exons. Lineage: Eukaryota; Metazoa; Chordata; Aves; Passeriformes; Pipridae. The record is from RefSeq and is a predicted model, not a curated record.
AGUAAUCUCUUUUUUCCUUCAAUCUAGAGUAAAAUAGGAGGAAAAGCCCUCUUAUUUCAGCCCAGGAGAAAUAGUAUGCUAUUGUCCCAAAACAUCCUCAUUUGCACCCUCAGGUGCACAGAGGUAAAUCUGUUCUGCAGCUGGUCACACUGUAGGUGUCACAGCUACAUGUGGUUUCCAUCAGCUCAUCUGAGAUAUUGCUGCAAUUAGUAGUGUAAAUUAGAGUGGCUUUUAAUCUCCUCCUCUGCCUUUAUUUUGAGUUACAUUCUCUUUUGCUUCCACCUAAGUUUCAUCUUUGAGCCCUGAUUCACACUCAUAUAGGAAAUGUCAGCUAUUGUCUUGUAAGCUCGGUUUGCAGACUGGGAUAAGGGUUUGGAAGAAGGAGACUUCCCAGAAGACUGCAAGACCUCGCUGUAACACCACUUUGUCAGAUCUUCAUGAAAGGGUGCAGUGCUCUCAAGUGGAGAAAGCAAAAGAAACAUAAACAUGGACAUACAAGUAGAAAGAAAUACGGGCAGGUGCUGAGGCCUGAAGCCAUCAGUGUUUUGCUCCGCUGACUUGCUCUGCUGGGGGAACAUGCACCUCCUGAGAGAGAAGACCUUACCAGUCCCACUGCAGUUCUCAGCCCUAUGGCUUCCUCUCCUUCUACACUCUCCAUCCAUGCCAGCAGUCAGCUGCUGGAGCACACACCAGGCUUCCCCAAUCCGUUCUGAUGAUGACCAUGGAGUGCGAAUCCUACAGACCUCAUCUGAAUCCAGCACUGCAGCUUUCUCCAUUGGUUUUGCCAUCAUCUUAGCAAGAGAUAAAGCUGAAUAAUCCCCUAAGUGACACCACCCCACAUAUAAGGAGCACCCCAACUACUUGUUGAGAUGGGUGCUAGCCAGAAUAUGAUAUAGAUUGAUUUAGGUAUGCUUUGUGUAAAUACAAGUCAUUAGGCUCAAUACGGGAUGAAAUUUUAUGGCCUGGCUCAUGUUGGAGGUUGGGACCACAUGAUUUAAUGGUUCCUUCUGGCUUUAAAAUCCAUGUGCAGCAAAAAAUGCUUACACUAAUCUUAGCAAUGUUACGUUUUUCUUUCUAUUGUGCUGAUACUGUAGGUGUUUGUGUUACAGAGAUAUUGGAAGACUCUGCCCUGAAGGACAUGUGCAUCUGUAGAAACUGAACUUCAGACUCUGCUGCCUUUAGUAGAGUCUUUAAAUGGCUUUAGCAGUUUACAGAAUCCAAGUUUUCUCUCUGCUUAUUGAUGCAAAUAUCUGCAACAGCCAUGCUGAGUUCAUCCAGUCUGGGGCUAGGAACAGCCUCAUGGAACUCAUCUGUCCAGUGAGCUAAUAGACUUUUGCUAACUUGUAGGAGUUAAAAGUGUAGAGGAAAAAGAAAACAACACCCUCAAAUUGCAAAA